AGUGAACGCUGGCGGUAGGCCUAACACAUGCAAGUCGAACGGCAGCACAGUAAGAGCUUGCUCUUACGGGUGGCGAGUGGCGGACGGGUGAGGAAUACAUCGGAAUCUCCUUUUUCGGGGGGGAUAACGUAGGGAAACUUACGCUAAUACCGCAUACGACCUACGGGUGAAAGCAGGGGAUCUUCGGACCUUGCGCGAUUGAAUGAGCCGAUGUCGGAUUAGCUAGUUGGCGGGGUAAAGGCCCACCAAGGCGACGAUCCGUAGCUGGUCUGAGAGGAUGAUCAGCCACACUGGAACUGAGACACGGUCCAGACUCCUACGGGAGGCAGCAGUGGGGAAUAUUGGACAAUGGGCGCAAGCCUGAUCCAGCCAUACCGCGUGUGUGAAGAAGGCCUUCGGGUUGUAAAGCACUUUUGUUGGGAAAGAAAAGCAGCAGGUUAAUACCCCGCUGUUCUGACGUUACCCAAAGAAUAAGCACCGGCUAACUUCGUG
RNAcentral lists this ribosomal RNA (492 nucleotides) under uncultured bacterium. RNAcentral's name for it is "partial 16S ribosomal RNA". It matches the Rfam family "Bacterial small subunit ribosomal RNA", at positions 29 to 507 of the family's 1533-position model. The record is from RNAcentral.